AAAAUCCGUUGGCUUUAUUGACCGUGAGGGUUCAAGUCCCUUUACCCCCA
RNAcentral lists this transfer RNA (50 nucleotides) under Rhabdoweisia crispata. RNAcentral's name for it is "partial tRNA-Leu". Lineage: Eukaryota; Viridiplantae; Streptophyta; Bryopsida; Dicranales; Rhabdoweisiaceae. The record is from RNAcentral. RNAcentral also lists the same sequence under 1 other name.